AAUUAUUCGAGUGUGUGCAUUUGAGCUGGGUGGCUUAUUUGGAAUGAAACCCCCAAAAGACAAAAACCCAUGCUUUUUUUUCCCAAAUUGAGGCGAGGAACAUAGCCUUAUAAAUUGCAUGUGAAUGCCAUGACAUCUCUCAUCCAUAUCUUAUACUCAAAAUCGAUUUGAUUUGGUCGAUAAAGCGCGUUGCGUCGAAGAAAAAGAAAUGGUAAAAUCGAGAAGCGGCCGUCACCGGCCAUAUGGAGCGACUUCCAUGCCUUUCUCCUCUGUCUAUAUAAAUCAGAGCCCAUUUCUGCAAAAUCAAAAGGGGUUGAGAGAAAUGUGAAGAUCUUGAGAUCCAUCUCGGGCAUGGCAGACAGGACGAAGCCAGGCAGUAACAAACAAGAACUGGAAGAAGAAAGGGGUUGUAUUUUUUUGUUCUUGGGUCAUUUAGUUUCUUCCAACUUUAUUUAUUUUUGUUGGGUUUUUGGAAUUUUAAUGAUUUUUUGUUGGGAGGGAGGAUCAAUCCCAGAACACAAAUGCUUUAAUUUGCGUGGAUUGUGAUCCAAGCCAAGAUCGAUUGCACAAAAUUUCAGAAUCUGUUUCUUUUUCUCUUUCUA
This is a long non-coding RNA of Cucurbita pepo subsp. pepo (vegetable marrow), 602 nucleotides long. RefSeq lists it as uncharacterized. NCBI's taxonomy places the organism in Eukaryota, Viridiplantae, Streptophyta, Magnoliopsida, Cucurbitales, Cucurbitaceae. The record is from RefSeq and is a predicted model, not a curated record.